Molecule: ribosomal RNA, 62 nt
Filed under: Nicotiana attenuata
Lineage: Eukaryota; Viridiplantae; Streptophyta; Magnoliopsida; Solanales; Solanaceae
Description: rRNA LSU_rRNA_eukarya
Rfam family: Eukaryotic large subunit ribosomal RNA
Source: RNAcentral
GGGUGAAGCUAGAGGAAACUCUGGUGGAGGCCCGCAGCGAUACUAACGCGCAAAUCGUUCGU